RNAcentral lists this long non-coding RNA (1145 nucleotides) under Homo sapiens (human). Its description in RNAcentral is "non-protein coding lnc-NRDE2-7:1". Lineage: Eukaryota; Metazoa; Chordata; Mammalia; Primates; Hominidae. The record is from RNAcentral.
CUUUAGUGGUGAUUUGUGAGAUUUUGGUGCACCCAUCACCCGAGCAGUAUACACUGCACCCAAUAAAACAACGCACAUUUCCUGUCUUACAUGUAGUUCUGGGGGUCAGAAGUCUAAAACGGGCCUCAUGGGGCAAAAGGCAAGGUGACGGCAGGGCUGUUCUUUCUGGAAGUACUAGGAAAGACAUCAAACUUUGCCCUUUCCAGUUUCUCAGGGGUGUGCUUGGCUCAUGGCCAUGUUCACUGCCGGCAGUGGCAUCACUCCGACCUCUGCUGUAGAGCGAUCUCUGUGACUCCUCCUUCUCUGCCUCUGACCCUCCUGUCUCCCUCUUUCCCUUGUAAGAGCCUCCUGAUUACAUUGGUCUUACCUGGAUAAUCCAAGACACUCUCCCCAUCUGAAGAUCCCUCAUCAAAUGGCAUCUGCACAGCCCCUUUUGCCAGGAGCAGAUCCGCCGCUCGAAACAGCUGACCCAGCGACGACUGCGGAACCACUAGCAGCGUCUGCACAGAUCGACCCCGCCAUCCCGCCGUCCCGUUCGGUGACCGGAGACGCAGCCGGGAACGCGACUGAUCAGGCUACCGAGCCGGGCCGCAGGGCGAAAGCGGUGCGGUCCGAGGCCUCAGAAAGGGACACGCAGCAGCGGCAGUGGCGCUGACUCAGCCCGGCCUCCCUGCAGUCCCCUCAAAUACAAAGACUUCUCCGCAAAUGUUUAUAGCAGCUUUAUUUGUAAUAGCCAAAAACUGAUCACAAUCCAAAUGUCCACCAACAGAUCAAAGGAGAAGCGAAUUGUGAUCUGUCCAUAUGAGGGGCUUGGUGCCUGCAGCAACAUGGGUGAAUCUCCAGGUAGUGGUGACGAGUUGAAGGAGCCAGUCAAAAAAGAACGUGCUGUGUGAUUCCAUUUAUAGAAAACUCUAGAAAAUGUGGACUAAUCUAGAGUGAGGGAAAGCAGACCCGUGAUUGCGCCUGGGGCAAGGAGACUUGGGGGUGGAGGGGGGGCCAGAGGGAGGGGUUUCAAAGAUGAUAAAGACAUUUUGAGGGUGAUGGAUAUGAUCCCUCUCUUAAUAGUGGCGAUGGCUUCAUGGAUAGAUACAAAUGUCAAGACAUAUUGAACUGUAUACUUUAAAUGCUUGCGCUUUACUACGUGC